Molecule: long non-coding RNA, 540 nt
Filed under: Chrysolophus pictus (golden pheasant)
Lineage: Eukaryota; Metazoa; Chordata; Aves; Galliformes; Phasianidae
Description: lncRNA (ENSCPIG00010003861.1)
Source: RNAcentral
AUGAAGCUUUUCCACACCUCUUGGGAUGAGAAGGAGCAAAGUGGUGGUGCUGCUGCGUCUGGGAGCGAUCAGUCUGCUAAAGAUCACAAGUCACUCAGAAUUGGAUAUCCUCAUCGCCGAGGCUGUCAGACACACCACGUCCUGUCCCUGCUGGCUGCACAGCAACACAUCUGCAUGGAUGGGGAGAUGGAAACCCAAUGUGUAUCAUCUCCUCUGAGCCUGCUCGAGUUGCUCUUCAGUGCUUCAAGGGGGAAGAAAGACCAGAAAAAUAAUAAGGCUUUGUAUGAGUGGCAGACAAGGACAAAACAACGAGUAAAACCAUGUAGGAGAAUUCAGCACACAUUUGAUAUUGAACAGAAAGGGUCUCCAUGUGGACUCCUGAGCAGGUAUGCAUUUUGUUUUCGUGCCCUACCUGGUGCUGGUUGCAAUGCAGAAGGUGUGUCCCGAUGCAGGGCUGGAUUACAUCCCACGCAGGAUCCCCAGAGACGUGCCAGUUUUCCCAUGACGUGCCCUGCAGAGAUUUGCAAUGAGCGAAGCUGA